RNAcentral lists this transfer RNA (82 nucleotides) under Cryptosporangium aurantiacum. RNAcentral's name for it is "tRNA_Ser_CGA". It matches the Rfam family "tRNA". Rfam says of the family: Transfer RNA (tRNA) molecules are approximately 80 nucleotides in length. Their secondary structure includes four short double-helical elements and three loops (D, anti-codon, and T loops). Lineage: Bacteria; Bacillati; Actinomycetota; Actinomycetes; Cryptosporangiales; Cryptosporangiaceae. The record is from RNAcentral.
GAAGGCACCGUCCAGCGGUGGGCAGCCGGCCUCGAAAGCCGGAGGCGGGGGCAACCCCGGGGGUUCGACUCCUCUGCCUUCC